This 253-nucleotide ribosomal RNA is filed under the name uncultured bacterium. RNAcentral describes it as "partial 16S ribosomal RNA". It matches the Rfam family "Bacterial small subunit ribosomal RNA", at positions 524 to 776 of the family's 1533-position model. The record is from RNAcentral.
UACGUAGGGUGCAAGCGUUAAUCGGAAUUACUGGGCGUAAAGCGUGCGCAGGCGGUUUUGUAAGUCUGUCGUGAAAUCCCCGGGCUCAACCUGGGAAUGGCGAUGGAGACUGCAAGGCUAGAGUUUGGCAGAGGGGGGUAGAAUUCCACGUGUAGCAGUGAAAUUCGUAGAUAUUCGGAAGAACACCAGUGGCGAAGGCGACUUACUGGUCCAUAACUGACGCUGAGGAGCGAAAGCAUGGGGAGCGAACAGG